CCUACGGGAGGCAGCAGUAAGGAAUAUUGGUCAAUGGACGCAAGUCUGAACCAGCCAUGCCGCGUGAAGGAUUAAGGUCCUCUGGAUUGUAAACUUCUUUUAUUUGGGACGAAAAAGGGUCUUUCUAGGCCAACUGACGGUACCAGAUGAAUAAGCACCGGCUAACUCCGUGCCAGCAGCCGCGGUAAUACGGAGGGUGCAAGCGUUAUCCGGAUUCACUGGGUUUAAAGGGUGCGUAGGCGGGUAGGUAAGUCAGUGGUGAAAUCCUAGAGCUUAACUCUAGAACUGCCAUUGAUACUAUUUAUCUUGAAUAUUGUGGAGGUAANCGGAAUAUGUC
RNAcentral lists this ribosomal RNA (337 nucleotides) under uncultured bacterium. RNAcentral describes it as "bacterial SSU rRNA". It matches the Rfam family "Bacterial small subunit ribosomal RNA", at positions 338 to 672 of the family's 1533-position model. The record is from RNAcentral.